AUUUUUUUGAGUUUUCUGUAAUUUUUUUCAAAAUUUUUGAAUCUCGUUUUGAGUCCAAAGACAGAGUAAGAAUCAAAUUUUGAGUCCUUUGAAUCGAAUUGGCUGAAUCAAACUAAAUCGAAUCAGAUUGAUCAAAUCAGACUAAUUUUCUUUUUUUCCCCUCCCUCUUCUCCCGUGCACACCACCUCCCUCUCUUCUUUUUCUUUUUUCUCUCUCUCCCCACCGCCGACCGACUACCCUCCCCUGCUCCGCCAGGCCGACAUCCCUCCAACCUACAUCCUCGUUGUUGG
RNAcentral lists this unclassified non-coding RNA (290 nucleotides) under Hevea brasiliensis (rubber tree). Lineage: Eukaryota; Viridiplantae; Streptophyta; Magnoliopsida; Malpighiales; Euphorbiaceae. The record is from RNAcentral.